AAAAUAUAAACGGUCUUUGAGCAAGAAACCUAUAAAUAUGAAUCUUAUGAAGAAACACUGAUUUACAAAUGUAUAGUGGAAAAACAAAUGCAUUUUCAUAAGAACUACAGGUUACCAAAGAUAAGAAAUGAAAUAUUCUCUUAAUUAUAAUAGGGAUUUUAUUAUUUGAAUUUAGGUGGGUUUUUUUUUUUCUUCCCACAAAAUAAAUAUUGUGUUAGCUACUAAAAACUCAUAGCUGACUUCUACAUCUCAAUACCAAAAUAUUUUCACAGUUUAUAGGCUAAUUCUUCUUACAAUUUGUGAUUUCCUUGACCGUUCUCCACGAUUCACAGCCCUAGUGUGGAAUGAACUGUCUAAAAAUAUCACUUUCUGCCCGUUUUGUGCACAUUUUGCCCUUCCUAUAUUAUAAAUUAAUGAUGAUGAUAUGUUGUUGGCCCACCUGUAUAUCAGCAGUUAUAUUAGUCAGCAAGCAUCACUUUGGUUUUAGCCUAAACCAGGGGUCCUCAAACUCCGGCUCCCCAGAUGUUGCUGAACUACAACUCCCAUGAUUCUCUGGCUAUCUAUGUAAUUCAAAGAAUCAUGGGAGUUGUAGUUCAGCAACAUCUGGGGGGCCAGAGUUUGAGGACCCAUGGCCUAAGCAAUAAACCAUGCCCCUAUUGAACUGUAAACUUAAAAUCACAAAAACGUGUCCAUUGCAAGUAUUUGAUAGAGAAAUUGUGGUUUUUUUUGCAGUAUUGAUAAAGGGCAAGGUUCAUUGUUCAGUAUGUCCCGUAAACCCGUUUUCUGCAAUGUCCUGUUGUAGUGUAGAUUUUAACUGGAAAAUAUACAUGCCAGUAGAAAAUUCAACAAGUCAGAUAUUAAACGGGCCUCUGCGUUAGGCAAACUAGCCCGCUUGCUCUGGUCACCAUGUAUAGCUGCUGAACUUUUCUAAUUUAGAAAACAUAACAUUCAAGUUUUAUUUUC
Pelobates cultripes (western spadefoot toad) is the source of this 963-nucleotide non-coding RNA. The record is from the annotation of a GenBank genome assembly. NCBI's taxonomy places the organism in Eukaryota, Metazoa, Chordata, Amphibia, Anura, Pelobatidae.